RNAcentral lists this ribosomal RNA (253 nucleotides) under uncultured bacterium. RNAcentral's name for it is "partial 16S ribosomal RNA". It matches the Rfam family "Bacterial small subunit ribosomal RNA", at positions 524 to 776 of the family's 1533-position model. The record is from RNAcentral.
UACGAAGGGUGCAAGCGUUACUCGGAAUUACUGGGCGUAAAGCGUGCGUAGGUGGUUGUUUAAGUCUGUUGUGAAAGCCCUGGGCUCAACCUGGGAACUGCAGUGGAAACUGGACAACUAGAGUGUGGUAGAGGGUAGCGGAAUUCCCGGUGUAGCAGUGAAAUGCGUAGAGAUCGGGAGGAACAUCCAUGGCGAAGGCAGCUACCUGGACCAACACUGACACUGAGGCGCGAAAGCGUGGGGAGCGAACAGG